UUGACCUCGGAUCAGGUAGGAAGACCCGCUGAACUUAAGCAUAUCAAUAAGCGGAGGAAAAGAAACCAACAGGGAUUGCCCUAGUAACGGCGAGUGAAGCGGCAACAGCUCAAAUUUGAAAUCUGGCUUCGGCCCGAGUUGUAAUUUGCAGAGGAAGCUUUAGGCGCGGCACCAACUGAGUCCCCUGGAACGGGGCGCCACAGAGGGUGAGAGCCCCGUAUAGUUGGACGCCUAGCCUGUGUAAAGCUCCUUCGACGAGUCGAGUAGUUUGGGAAUGCUGCUCAAAAUGGGAGGUAAAUUUCUUCUAAAGCUAAAUACCGGCCAGAGACCGAUAGCGCACAAGUAGAGUGAUCGAAAGAUGAAAAGCACUUUGAAAAGAGGGUUAAAUAGCACGUGAAAUUGUUGAAAGGGAAGCGCUUGUGACCAGACUUGCGCCCGGCUGAUCAUCCGGUGUUCUCACCGGUGCACUCUGCCGGGCUCAGGCCAGCAUCGGUUCUCGCGGGGGGAUAAAGGCCCUGGGAACGUAGCUCCUCCGGGAGUGUUAUAGCCCAGGGUGUAAUGCCCUCGCG
This 569-nucleotide ribosomal RNA is filed under the name Humicola fuscoatra. RNAcentral's name for it is "eukaryotic LSU rRNA". It matches the Rfam family "Eukaryotic large subunit ribosomal RNA", at positions 1 to 581 of the family's 3401-position model. Lineage: Eukaryota; Fungi; Ascomycota; Sordariomycetes; Sordariales; Chaetomiaceae. The record is from RNAcentral.